AACGGAGUAGGAAUCAAUGCGUAAAGUGCCGAUGGAACGGAAUGUGAACAUUGGACGAAAAGCAGUUGCUUGCGAUAUUGGUUCCGCAUUCGCCGCC
Molecule: non-coding RNA, 97 nt
Filed under: Secundilactobacillus oryzae
Lineage: Bacteria; Bacillati; Bacillota; Bacilli; Lactobacillales; Lactobacillaceae
Description: Lactobacillus oryzae THF-I sequence
Rfam family: THF (Tetrahydrofolate) riboswitch aptamer
About the family: THF riboswitch presents a pseudoknot that joins P1-P2 and the loop of P3 and two THF binding.
Source: RNAcentral